Molecule: ribosomal RNA, 485 nt
Filed under: Lodderomyces parapsilosis
Lineage: Eukaryota; Fungi; Ascomycota; Pichiomycetes; Serinales; Debaryomycetaceae
Description: eukaryotic LSU rRNA
Rfam family: 5.8S ribosomal RNA (bases 137-290)
Source: RNAcentral
GCUUACUGCAUUUUUUCUUACACAUGUGUUUUUCUUUUUUUGAAAACUUUGCUUUGGUAGGCCUUCUAUAUGGGGCCUGCCAGAGAUUAAACUCAACCAAAUUUUAUUUAAUGUCAACCGAUUAUUUAAUAGUCAAAACUUUCAACAACGGAUCUCUUGGUUCUCGCAUCGAUGAAGAACGCAGCGAAAUGCGAUAAGUAAUAUGAAUUGCAGAUAUUCGUGAAUCAUCGAAUCUUUGAACGCACAUUGCGCCCUUUGGUAUUCCAAAGGGCAUGCCUGUUUGAGCGUCAUUUCUCCCUCAAACCCUCGGGUUUGGUGUUGAGCGAUACGCUGGGUUUGCUUGAAAGAAAGGCGGAGUAUAAACUAAUGGAUAGGUUUUUUCCACUCAUUGGUACAAACUCCAAAACUUCUUCCAAAUUCGACCUCAAAUCAGGUAGGACUACCCGCUGAACUUAAGCAUAUCAAUAAGCGGAGGAAAAAUUCUA